This 512-nucleotide long non-coding RNA is filed under the name Homo sapiens (human). Its description in RNAcentral is "HSALNT0327665". Lineage: Eukaryota; Metazoa; Chordata; Mammalia; Primates; Hominidae. The record is from RNAcentral.
AAUGUGGGGAGCCAGGACUUUGAUCCCCACUAACUGGUAACAAAACCUCGUGAUAGAGCCCUGUCUUGUAAGAUGUAACCUCAUGUACCCUAGAACAGUUCUGGAGGCCGGAAGUCUGAAAGCAGUAUCAGUAGGUGGAAAUCAGGGUGCCCAGCUUCUGGUGGCUGUGACAUUCCUUGGCUUAAGGCUGAGCUCAUUGAUGAAGAAGUCUUGAGUUCAUCAUUUUUUCUUCUCUAAUAGCUGAGAUGGCAGUCAAUGAGAGUGACUGCAGAAAGUUUCAGAAGGACACAUGGGAAUCAUUUAACCAGGCCAAUAAAAUCAGCUAUUUAUACACUUCCCCCGGAAGACAUAGCCCUUGCUUCACUGUCUGAAGGAGAGAAAAUGCAAAAGGUCCAUCGAUAUAUACAUAUAAGAAUUUUUCCAUUAGAAUGCUACACAGUCAGUGGCCAAAAGCCUGUUGGAAAGAGUGUGGGCUUAGAUGACAUCAAGACAUACAGUUUUAGAACCUACUG